This 253-nucleotide ribosomal RNA is filed under the name uncultured bacterium. RNAcentral's name for it is "partial 16S ribosomal RNA". It matches the Rfam family "Bacterial small subunit ribosomal RNA", at positions 524 to 776 of the family's 1533-position model. The record is from RNAcentral.
GACGUAGGGCGCGAGCGUUGUCCGGAUUUAUUGGGCGUAAAGAGCUCGUAGGCGGCUUGUCGCGUCGUCCGUGAAAACUUGGGGCUCAACCCCAAGCUUGCGGUCGAUACGGGCAGGCUAGAGUUCGGUAGGGGAGACUGGAAUUCCUGGUGUAGCGGUGAAAUGCGCAGAUAUCAGGAGGAACACCUAUUGCGAAGGCAGCUCGCUGGGACGUAACUGACGCUGAGACGCGAAAGCGUGGGGAGCAAACAGG